GUGCUUGCUUCAGCAGCACAUAUACUAAAAUUAGAACUAUACAGAGAAGAUUAGCAUGGCCCCUGCACAAGAAUGACACGCAAAUUUGUGAAGAAUUUCUUAUUUUU
RNAcentral lists this small nuclear RNA (107 nucleotides) under Catagonus wagneri (Chacoan peccary). The record is from RNAcentral. Lineage: Eukaryota; Metazoa; Chordata; Mammalia; Artiodactyla; Tayassuidae.